UACGGAGGGGGCUAGCGUUGUUCGGAAUUACUGGGCGUAAAGCGCGCGUAGGCGGCUUUGUAAGUCAGAGGUGAAAUCCCGGGGCUCAACUCCGGAACUGCCUUUGAAACUGCAUCGCUUGAAUGCGGGAGAGGUGAGUGGAAUUCCGAGUGUAGAGGUGAAAUUCGUAGAUAUUCGGAAGAACACCAGUGGCGAAGGCGGCUCACUGGACCGGCAUUGACGCUGAGGUGCGAAAGCGUGGGGAGCAAACAGG
Molecule: ribosomal RNA, 253 nt
Filed under: uncultured bacterium
Lineage: Bacteria
Description: partial 16S ribosomal RNA
Rfam family: Bacterial small subunit ribosomal RNA
Source: RNAcentral